GUUGGUGGGGGUAACGGCCUACCAAGGCAACGAUCAGUAGCCGGCCUGAGAGGGUGGACGGCCACACUGGGACUGAGACACGGCCCAGACUCCUACGGGAGGCAGCAGUGGGGAAUAUUGCGCAAUGGGGGAAACCCUGACGCAGCGACGCCGCGUGAGCGAAGAAGGCCUUAGGGUUGUAAAGCUCUGUUCUAUGGGACGAAGUCCUUGACUGUGAAUAAUGGUCAAGGUUGACGGUACCAUAGGAGGAAGCCCCGGCUAACUACGUGCCAGCAGCCGCGGUAAGACGUAGGGGGCGAGCGUUGUCCGGAAUUACUGGGCGUAAAGAGCACGUAGGCGGGACCUUAAGUCAGGUGUGAAAGACCGGAGCCUAACUCCGGGGUGGCACUUGAAACUGGGGUUCUUGAGGGCAGGAGAGGAAAGCAGAAUUCCUGGUGUAGCGGUGAAAUGCGUAGAAAUCAGGAGGAAUACCAGUGGCGAAGGCGGCUUUCUGGACUGACCCUGACGCUGAGGUGCGAAAGCGUGGGUAGCAAACAGGAUUAGAUACCCUGGUAGUCCACGCUGUAAACGAUGGAUACUAGGUGUGGGAGGUAUCGACCCCUUCCG
RNAcentral lists this ribosomal RNA (606 nucleotides) under uncultured bacterium. Its description in RNAcentral is "bacterial SSU rRNA". It matches the Rfam family "Bacterial small subunit ribosomal RNA", at positions 248 to 843 of the family's 1533-position model. The record is from RNAcentral.